Molecule: unclassified non-coding RNA, 242 nt
Filed under: rhizosphere metagenome
Description: partial ribosomal RNA internal transcribed spacer region
Source: RNAcentral
GUAGGUGAACCUGCGGAAGGAUCAUUAGUGAAUACUAGGGAGUCUACUUCGGUAGAUCCUGACCCCCACUUUCUUAACACUGUGCACUAUUUGGCGGGAGAUUAUAACGUUAUCGGAGAGAGGAAGUCAAACACUUCUUUCCUUUAAUUGUUACUCUUUCCUGCGGCUUACUUUAAAACACUAGUUUAAUGUAUGUAAUAUAAAAAAAAAAAAAACUUUCAACAACGGAUCUCUUGGCUCUC